This is a long non-coding RNA of Octopus sinensis (East Asian common octopus), 647 nucleotides long. RefSeq lists it as uncharacterized. The transcript is spliced from 3 exons. The record is from RefSeq and is a predicted model, not a curated record. NCBI's taxonomy places the organism in Eukaryota, Metazoa, Mollusca, Cephalopoda, Octopoda, Octopodidae.
GUGUGUACAUGUGUGUACGUGUGUGUGUGUGUGUGUUUUGUCCAUCCAGCAAAGAGCGGUGUAGCUUGUGUUGUAUGAAAACGGCUGCGAUCGACGACCAGGUUCGGGAGGAAGAAGAAGAAGAAGAAGAAGAGGAGGAGGAAGAGGAAGGAAAAAAAAAAACAAGAAUCAGAUAAAACGAGGGGAAAACGAUCGUUAACAAUAACAACAACAACAUCAGUAACAACAACAACAAUAAGGAAUAGGAAGAAGAAGAAGAAGAAGAAGGAGGCAGUAAAUGAUGAAGAGAUGAGACCAUCUGGCAGAGAUGCUGAUAUGAAGUUUCAUUAACCAAUCACAGGGUUUAACUGCAAUUACUAUUGUAAAAGGGAAGGUGAGAUCUAUAAAAGACUAAAAGGAGAAAAGCAAGACAACAAAAGACUUUCAUUCUCAGAUAUUUGAUUCCAAAAAUGGAUACGAGCAGCCAAGAAUUAGACGAGUUAUGCGAUAAAAGGUCAUCUUUGAGACGUUCUUACAGUGAAGAAAUGACCAGCAGUACUUUGGCCAAUCCUUUCCAGAAGCCAUGCUGUUGUUGUUACAUUCCAAAGAGAUAUAUUUUGGCAUGUAUGGCCUUUCUUGGGUUCGGUGAGUCAUUUAUGCUUUUGGUC